GCCGCCGCCGCUGCCCCUGCCCCUCUUCUCCCUCCUCCCCCUGGCUCUGCUCCUCCUGCUGCUGCUGCUGCUCAGUGCCGCUCGAGCCACACUCCCAAGCAGACGCCCGCCCGACCCGGGAGCAACAGCAGCAGCAGCAGGAGCCGCCGCUGAGGCCCAUGAAACACCAAACAUCUGAAGUGUUCCGGGAUUCAAUUUUGCCAAACUGCAGCCUUCCUGGAAUAGCUCAGCAGAGCUUCUGAGAAACUAUUUUCAGUUUGAAACAAAGCAUACUAAAUGUUUUCUGCAUAUUGCUAUUUCAUUCUCCUUCCCAGAAAUCUGGGUAGUAUUUUUGGCUCUCUCCUCUAACAGACUGUUCACAGUUAAUGUUGGGGAAAAUAACCAUAUUCCCAUAUUUCUACCAUUUUUUGCAUCAUGAAAAUCAGCUGAGUGACUAUGGUAGUCAUUUUCCCUCUCCACAACCCACAUCACAGGGUGGUUGUUGGGAAAAUAGGAGGAAGGAAUAUUAUGUAUGUUGGCCACCUUGAGUAGCUUAUAAAAAUAAUAAACAUGGGAUAGAAAUAAAAUGUGACUACAAGUUAGAUGCUUAUAUUAAGGAUACAAUUUCUAGUAUAGUCCACAUAAUUUUAUAGGUGUCCAGAUGCUACCUUCUUCCUUUUAUAAGCCAGGGCUUCCCAAAAUAUCCUCUGUCUUACCUACAUAAAAUUCAUCAGAAUAGCUGCAUAACAUCUUUUGAAUUUUAAUACUCCCCCCCCCUCCCCAAUAACUUGGUAAAUACUCAGAAUAUUGUGUACUGGAUAGAAUUGUUCUAUAUGUUCAUGCCUGUAUUUAUACUUGAAAAAUAAUAAUUACAAUUACUUGUU
Long non-coding RNA from Thamnophis elegans (Western terrestrial garter snake), 863 nucleotides. RefSeq lists it as uncharacterized. Lineage: Eukaryota; Metazoa; Chordata; Lepidosauria; Squamata; Natricidae. The transcript is spliced from 2 exons. The record is from RefSeq and is a predicted model, not a curated record.